GGGACCUUGGCGCAGUUGGCUAGCGCGCAGGUCUCAUAUACCUAUAUGAUCUGGUUAUAAAACCAGAGUAAUCCUGAGGUCGGGAGUUCGAGCCUCCCAGGUCCCA
This is a transfer RNA of Neurospora tetrasperma FGSC 2509, 106 nucleotides long. It matches the Rfam family "tRNA". Rfam says of the family: Transfer RNA (tRNA) molecules are approximately 80 nucleotides in length. Their secondary structure includes four short double-helical elements and three loops (D, anti-codon, and T loops). NCBI's taxonomy places the organism in Eukaryota, Fungi, Ascomycota, Sordariomycetes, Sordariales, Sordariaceae. The record is from Rfam.